UAUUUUUUCUUUCAGAAAAAGAAGUAACGUACGUUACUGUACUUUCAAUCUAAAUUUAUCCCGUUUGCUCUUAACCGCUGUCCUGUCUAGUAGCAGCGUUUCCUUGCCUUCUCACGUCACAUCUUCUUUAUCUCCCCCCCUCCCUCCUUUUGUGUGGGAACUGCGAGCGAAGAGUGGCAAGGAUGUUAUUCCCUGGUUUCGCGACUGCGUCGGUGAUACCCAUUCUCUGCUUCUACUCCGCCCACCGCCUAACCAUCCUUGCUUUCCUUUGUACCUGCACGCUGGCAGAAAGUUGACUUGGCCCCAUGGACGUCCUAGCCGAGAACAACACCUGCGGCCAAACGCUCCUGCACCUCGUCUCCAGGGGCAACGCCAUCGUGGCCGCGCUGCUGCGGCUCUCGGACGAACUCAUACAGUUUGAAGCUUGACAACCGCAAAGACAUGGUGGAGUACGGUGACAUCCUCCUCGACUACAGCUACUUCAAGGUCAUCGACCACUUCGACAAGAUAGAAGCAAAUGAUGUAAAGAUAUGGCGCUUUACUGCCGUGAUGCAACUGCCCUUAUGGUGUGAUUUUUGUCAUCCAGAAGCAGAAAGUUUGGGUAUAGGCACGGUCCAGAGACUUGGAAGUGGCUUGCUUUCGAGUGGCGUGCAGUUUGCAGAGGCGGCAUGCGUACGACAACCUCACUUUGUUUUGCUUCUUUAAUAAACAGUUCUUUAUGA
Long non-coding RNA from Dermacentor albipictus, 722 nucleotides. RefSeq lists it as uncharacterized. NCBI's taxonomy places the organism in Eukaryota, Metazoa, Arthropoda, Arachnida, Ixodida, Ixodidae. The record is from RefSeq and is a predicted model, not a curated record.